UUCGAGUGGCGGACGGGUGAGUAACGCGUGGGUAACCUGCCUUACACAGGGGGAUAACACCUGGAAACAGGUGCUAAUACCGCAUAAGCGCACAGGGCCGCAUGGCCCGGUGUGAAAAACUCCGGUGGUGUAAGAUGGACCCGCGUCUGAUUAGCUUGUUGGCGGGGUAGGGGCCCACCAAGGCGACGAUCAGUAGCCGGCUUGAGAGGGUGGACGGCCACAUUGGGACUGAGACACGGCCCAAACUCCUACGGAAGGCAGCAG
This 264-nucleotide ribosomal RNA is filed under the name uncultured bacterium. Its description in RNAcentral is "partial 16S ribosomal RNA". It matches the Rfam family "Bacterial small subunit ribosomal RNA", at positions 90 to 354 of the family's 1533-position model. The record is from RNAcentral.